This is a long non-coding RNA of Salvelinus fontinalis (brook trout), 3191 nucleotides long. RefSeq lists it as uncharacterized. Lineage: Eukaryota; Metazoa; Chordata; Actinopteri; Salmoniformes; Salmonidae. The transcript is spliced from 2 exons. The record is from RefSeq and is a predicted model, not a curated record.
GACUUAAUGAAACGUUUCCAUUUAGAGGGGUGGAGAGGAGUCACGUUAGUACAUUUUUCAACACCCCCCCCCCCCCCGAACUUAAUUGAGCAUCUGACGUAAUUCAUUAUACAGCUAGAAAUGUUAUGGUUAGAGCCGACCACGGUUCCUUAUUCUACGUCUGUCAGAGAGGCGUGUUGGUGUGUUUCUACACAGCAUAUUUCUACCUGAACGUUUUUCACACGUCAUACGUCCCGCUGUAACCGUGGUAACCGUGUCAACUCCCCCCCCCCCCCCCUUCCACCGGUCCGACCGGUCAGUCAAACUUUCUGCUGCAUAUUCUAGAAAACAUAUAUCUAUGCUAUAUCCCUUUCUUUAUUUUUCAGCUCAAACGGCAUCCUGUUGCCUAGGUUACACAACAAAACCCUAAUUAACUCAAAACACAGUGACUAGGUAGUGCACUAGUACUGUCUACUACUGUCAGUCACCUAAUCAGACCCCUAAUAUCUAACAAAUUACACCACAAAACCCUAAUUAACUCCAAACACAGGGACUAGGUAGUGCACUAGUACUGUCCAGAGGGUCAGCCACCUAAUCAGACCCCUAAUAUCUAACAAAUUACACCACAAAACCCUAAUUAACUCAAAACACAGGGACUAGGUAGUGCACUAGUACUGUCUACUACUGUCAGUCACCUAAUCAGACCCCUAAUAUCUAACAAAUUACACCACAAAACCCUAAUUAACUCAAAACACAGUGACUAGGUAGUGCACUAGUACUGUCUACUACUGUCAGUCACCUAAUCAGACCCCUAAUAUCUAACAAAUUACACCACAAAACCCUAAUUAACUCAAAACACAGGGACUAGGUAGUGCACUAGUACUGUCCAGAGAGUCAGUCACCUAAUCAGACCCCUAAUAUCUAACAAAUUACACCACAAAACCCUAAUUAACUCAAAACACAGUGACUAGGUAGUGCACUAGUACUGUCUACUACUGUCAGUCACCUAAUCAGACCCCUAAUAUCUAACAAAUUACACCACAAAACCCUAAUUAACUCAAAACACAGUGACUAGGUAGUGCACUAGUACUGUCUACUACUGUCAGUCACCUAAUCAGACCCCUAAUAUCUAACAAAUUACACCACAAAACCCUAAUUAACUCAAAACACAGUGACUAGGUAGUGCACUAGUACUGUCUACUACUGUCAGUCACCUAAUCAGACCCCUAAUAUCUAACAAAUUACACCACAAAACCCUAAUUAACUCCAAACACAGGGACUAGGUAGUGCACUAGUACUGUCCAGAGGAUCAGUCACCUAAUCAGACCCCUAAUAUCUAACAAAUUACACCACAAAACCCUAAUUAACUCAAAACACAGUGACUAGGUAGUGCACUAGUACUGUCUACUACUGUCAGUCACCUAAUCAGACCCCUAAUAUCUAACAAAUUACACCACAAAACCCUAAUUAACUCAAAACACAGUGACUAGGUAGUGCACUAGUACUGUCUACUACUGUCAGCCACCUAAUCAGACCCUAAUAUCUAACAAAUUACACCACAAAACCCUAAUUAACUCAAAACACAGGGACUAGGUAGUGCACUAGUACUGUCCAGAGGAUCAGUCACCUAAUCAGACCCCUAAUAUCUAACAAAUUACACCACAAAACCCUAAUUAACUCAAAACACAGUGACUAGGUAGUGCACUAGUACUGUCUACUACUGUCAGUCACCUAAUCAGACCCUAAUAUCUAACAAAUUACACCACAAAACCCUAAUUAACUCAAAACACAGUGACUAGGUAGUGCACUAGUACUGUCUACUACUGUCAGUCACCUAAUCAGACCCCUAAUAUCUAACAAAUUACACCACAAAACCCUAAUUAACUCAAAACACAGGGACUAGGUAGUGCACUAGUACUGUCUACUACUGUCAGUCACCUAAUCAGACCCCUAAUAUCUAACAAAUUACACCACAAAACCCUAAUUAACUCAAAACACAGUGACUAGGUAGUGCACUAGUACUGUCCAGAGGAUCAGUCACCUAAUCAGACCCCUAAUAUCUAACAAAUUACACCACAAAAUCCUAAUUAACUCAAAACACAGGGACUAGGUAGUGCACUAGUACUGUCCAGAGGAUCAGCCACCUAAUCAGACCCCUAAUAUCUAACAAAUUACACCACAAAACCCUAAUUAACUCAAAACACAGUGACUAGGUAGUGCACUAGUACUGUCCAGAGGAUCAGUCACCUAAUCAGACCCCUAAUAUCUAACAAAUUACACCACAAAACCCUAAUUAACUCAAAACACAGUGACUAGGUAGUGCACUAGUACUGUCUACUACUGUCAGUCACCUAAUCAGACCCCUAAUAUCUAACAAAUUACACCACAAAACCCUAAUUAACUCAAAACACAGGGACUAGGUAGUGCACUAGUACUGUCCAGAGGAUCAGUCACCUAAUCAGACCCCUAAUAUCUAACAAAUUACACCACAAAACCCUAAUUAACUCAAAACACAGUGACUAGGUAGUGCACUAGUACUGUCCAGAGGAUCAGUCACCUAAUCAGACCCCUAAUAUCUAACAAAUUACACCACAAAACCCUAAUUAACUCAAAACACAGUGACUAGGUAGUGCACUAGUACUGUCCAGAGGAUCAGUCACCUAAUCAGACCCCUAAUAUCUAACAAAUUACACCACAAAACCCUAAUUAACUCCAAACACAGGGACUAGGUAGUGCACUAGUACUGUCCAGAGGAUCAGUCACCUAAUCAGACCCCUAAUAUCUACCAAUUACACCACAAAACCCUAAUUAACUCAAAACACAGGGACUAGGUAGUGCACUAGUACUGUCUACUACUGUCAGUCACCUAAUCAGACCCCUAAUAUCUAACAAAUUACACCACAAAACCCUAAUUAACUCAAAACACAGUGACUAGGUAGUGCACUAGUACUGUCUACUACUGUCAGUCACCUAAUCAGACCCUAAUAUCUAACAAAUUACACCACAAAACCCUAAUUAACUCAAAACACAGUGACUAGGUAGUGCACUAUAAUAGGGAAUAAGGGGCUGUUCAGGACUGGGCUGAUCUGUUAGUUUGUGUCUGUUGAGAUGCCAUGAUGAUGAUGAUGAUGAUGAUGAUGGUGAUGAUACCAUGUAUGUAACAUUGUUUGUAAUAAGAUGUACAGUUUAAAGACAUUUAUGAACAGAAGGAA